RNAcentral lists this long non-coding RNA (241 nucleotides) under Fukomys damarensis (Damara mole-rat). RNAcentral describes it as "lncRNA (ENSFDAG00000032080.1)". The record is from RNAcentral. Lineage: Eukaryota; Metazoa; Chordata; Mammalia; Rodentia; Bathyergidae.
GGACCGGAAGCAGGAUGCAGACCUGGGCCCCAACUAUGAUGCAGCAAUUUCUGUCAAAAACAUGACAGUGUGUCCUCAUCUACCUUAUUAAUUGGACCUGGCAUCACACAAGUUCUGGCUCUUCCCCCAAGACCAAAUUAUCAUGAAUCAACUCAGGACAUCAAGGCAACCACAGCAGAACAACUGAAAACACCCACAGAGAGGACUUCCACAACUGCGCAGAAAAUGGUAAGAAUUUUGG